This 1222-nucleotide long non-coding RNA is filed under the name Bos indicus x Bos taurus (hybrid cattle). Its description in RNAcentral is "lncRNA (ENSBIXG00005019361.1)". Lineage: Eukaryota; Metazoa; Chordata; Mammalia; Artiodactyla; Bovidae. The record is from RNAcentral.
AUGAAGAUUCCAUUCCAUUUGCCCAGGAGACAACUGGAUACAAUGAGGAGAAUGGCGUCCAGAGGGGAGAGGAUCAGCAAUGGAAUCUUCAUCAUUUUGGAAAGAAAGGGCUUACUUCCUGGCAACACCAACAGAAAAACAGCUCCUCCAAGGAAAAAGUCACUAUUAUCUCCCAGCUUCUGUGACCAGGAACUAGUGAGUCUCUUCAUGUCAUAUUCCUAGUUGCUACUACAGUAAAGGGAACAAAGCAACUGUUCAUCAAGGCCAUGGUCUGUCCAGCUGACCCACAGAUAUAUUAUUUUAGCACUUUGGCAAUAACCAUUUACAGAGUGUGAUUAGGUCACUGUUUACACAGUGAUGAAGGAAGUCGAAACAAAUUAAUUGUUCAAGAGUUGUCUUGGAAUACUAUGUGAAUUUCAGUUUAUUGACAGACGUUUAUUGACAAAUAUUUAUAGCCAAAACUAGAAGUUACCUACCCCCAAAUUCCUUCUCUACAAUAUCACCAGUUGCAGAUUUAUGGGGAAAGAAAGUAAAUAGAAAGUAAUUUAGCAUACAGAUGGCCAAAAAACACAUGAAAAGAUACUCAACAUGACUCAGUAUUAGGAACAGAACUACCAUAUAACCCAACAAUACCACUGCUGGGCAUACACCCUGAGAAAACCAUAACUGAAAGAGACACAUGUGCUCCAAUGUUCAUUCUAGCACUUUUUACAAUAGCCAGGAUAUGAAACAAUCUAGAUGUCCACUGACAGAUGAAUGAAUACGGAAAUUGUGGUAUAUAUAUCCAGUGAAAUAUUUACUAAGCUAUAAAACAGAAAGUCAGUCCUAAUGAGGUAGAUAAACCCAGAGCUUAUUAUACAGAGUGAUGUCAAGUCAGAAAGAGAAAGAUAAAUUUUGCAUAUUAAUGCAUGCAUAUGGAAUCUAGAAAGAUGCUACUGAUGAACCUAUUUCUUGGGCAGACAAGGAGACACAAACACAGAGAACAGACUUAGGGACGCAGUAUGGGAAGGAGAGAGUGGAACACCCAAAGGAUGAAAAAAAAGAACAGCUGGUAUAAGCAGCAGCAUGAAUGAAUCCCAAACUAUUAUGCUGAGUGAAGGAAGCAUGACACAAAGAGCAAAUACUGCAUGAUUCCACUUACAUGAAUCUCACAGGAAAGUUCAGUUUCAUCUCAAGCAACAGAAUGCACAUCAGUGAUUACGUGAGCCCAGGAAUGGGAAGG